Molecule: unclassified non-coding RNA, 386 nt
Filed under: uncultured fungus
Lineage: Eukaryota; Fungi
Description: sequence contains ITS1
Rfam family: 5.8S ribosomal RNA (bases 1-105)
Source: RNAcentral
GAAAUGCGAUACGUAGUGUGAAUUGCAGAAUUCCGUGAACCAUCGAAUCUUUGAACGCAUAUUGCGCUCGAGGCUCCGGCCGAGAGCAUGUCUGCCUCAGCGUCGGUUUAACCCCUCACCCCUCCCAUCUAGUAUGGGUUGGUUGGCUUCUCUAGUCGACCUUUGGGGUGGAGCUGGCUUCCCCAAUUAGUUUGACUGAUUGGGUUGGCUGAAGCAUAGAGGCUUAAGCAAGGACCCGAAAUGGGCUUCAACUGGAUAGGUAGCACCGGCCUCGGCCGACUACACGAAGUUGUGGCUUGUGGACCUCGCUAGGAGCCAAGCAGGAAAUGCACAGGUGCAUCUCUAACUUCGACCUGAGCUCAGGCAAGGCUACCCGCUGAACUUAA